This 69-nucleotide antisense RNA is filed under the name Streptomyces sp. 150FB. RNAcentral describes it as "ASpks TB sRNA". It matches the Rfam family "ASpks TB sRNA". Lineage: Bacteria; Bacillati; Actinomycetota; Actinomycetes; Kitasatosporales; Streptomycetaceae. The record is from Rfam by way of RNAcentral.
CUUGAGCGACCCGAGCCACAGGGGCUGUUCACGGUCCUGGCCGUAGGUCGCCAGCAACGCCCGUGCCUC